This 345-nucleotide long non-coding RNA is filed under the name Mytilus galloprovincialis (Mediterranean mussel). The record is from RNAcentral. Lineage: Eukaryota; Metazoa; Mollusca; Bivalvia; Mytilida; Mytilidae.
GACUGGUGCCUGAAAGUUAAUAUUAGAAAGACUAAAGUCAUAAUUUUUAAUAAGGCUGGAAGGAAAAUUCAGGCGAAUUUUCGACUGCAGAAUAACUUGAUUGACUGUGUCGCUCAUUACAAAUAUUUAGGUGUUCACUUUACUGCAUCUGGAAGUUUUCAUCUAGCUAAAACUGAACUUUAUAAUAAGGCUCUUAAGGCCUACUAUAAACUUAGAAAGGAUUUUAUCAAUUUGUCUCCUGGAAUAAAAUCUUGUGUUCAUAUUUUUGAUCAUACCCUUAAACCCAUUCUGUUAUAUAAUUCAGAGGUAUGGGGAGGUUAUAAUGUCUCUUGUAAUAAAUUACAG